GAUGAACGCUGGCGGCGUGCCUAACACAUGCAAGUCGAGCGGCAGCGAGGGGUGCUUGCACCCUGUCGGCGAGCGGCGGACGGCUGAGUAACGCGUGGGAACGUGCCCCAAAGUGAGGAAUAACUGCCCGAAAGGGUAGCUAAUACCGCAUAUUAUCUUCGGAUAAAAGGAUUUAUCCGCUUUGGGAGCGGCUCGCGUCGGAUUAGGUAGUUGGUGAGGUAAUGGCUCACCAAGCCGACGAUCCGUAGCUGGUCUGAGAGGAUGACCAGCCAGACUGGAACUGAGACACGGUCCAGACUCCUACGGGAGGCAGCAGUGAGGAAUCUUCCACAAUGGGCGAAAGCCUGAUGGAGCAACGCCGCGUGCAGGACGAAGGCCUUCGGGUUGUAAACUGCUUUUAUAAGUGAGGAAUAUGACGGUAACUUAUGAAUAAGGAUCGGCUAACUACGUG
Molecule: ribosomal RNA, 451 nt
Filed under: uncultured bacterium
Lineage: Bacteria
Description: partial 16S ribosomal RNA
Rfam family: Bacterial small subunit ribosomal RNA
Source: RNAcentral